GUUCUAUCAGAUUCUCCUACCUUACCAGAAAGCUAUACUCACGUCACUAACCAGUAAGACAAGCAGAGGUUUGGCAACAUGGAGGAUCAGAAUUGAGAUUAUGUAGCAACUUUGUGUCACGCAGUGAAACAAAAAAACUAAGUGAUAACUGAGUUGCACUCUGCAUCUCUUUACCAAUGUGGGAGAGACGUGUUACGUUGG
This is a non-coding RNA of Pelobates cultripes (western spadefoot toad), 201 nucleotides long. NCBI's taxonomy places the organism in Eukaryota, Metazoa, Chordata, Amphibia, Anura, Pelobatidae. The record is from the annotation of a GenBank genome assembly.